RNA transcript from Cyprinus carpio (common carp), 2197 nucleotides. It is a transcript of the gene named E3 ubiquitin-protein ligase RNF165-like, with no coding region annotated. The transcript is spliced from 2 exons. NCBI's taxonomy places the organism in Eukaryota, Metazoa, Chordata, Actinopteri, Cypriniformes, Cyprinidae. The record is from RefSeq and is a predicted model, not a curated record.
UUAUUUAUUUAUGUAUGGUAAGGAACAACGUGUCACAGGAGCUGUAAAUAGGUCAUAACAGAAUAUUCCUUGAACAAAAAAUAGACUGCUUGCAUAACCUUGACUAACUGCACUGCAGUUUUUUUAUUGAUAUUUUUCAAAAUGUACUUGCACGCUGACGUCAUAGUUUGCGAAUCUUGACGCGUUUUGGUAGCCGCGCGUUUCCGCCGCGUCCAGAACGUCAAACCCCCUACAGCUAAUUCACAAAAGACUCGCCGCCGUGCCGAGCGCUCUGAUUGGCUGAGGCCGGAGCAACAGGAAGCGGCGCCGGGCUCGCUGAUUGGCUGCCGUUCUCUUUGUGUGCGUGCAGCUGGCGUCUGGGCUGCAUUUUGAAUGGUCUCGUGUUGGAAGGCGAAGGUGUCCAUGGGCAGCACAGCAACAAAGGAGCCAGGAUGGUGUUAGUGCACGUCGGAUAUCUGGUUCUUCCCGUCUUCGGUUCGGUCAGAAGUAGAGAGCUCUGUUCCCUUCCAUUGUGUAUCUAACGAUCACCCGCCGCUGCUGUGCUAUAGCCUCUGCCUGCCCUGCAUCUAGCUGUGUUGUGACUCCCUCUUCUCAUUCCCUCUCUUUCCAUCUGAAGACGACAUUACAAACAAACUCUCACUCAUCCAGACUGCAGAAUAACACUCUCUCUUCUCUAGAAGAAUCCUCUUGUCUUCUUAUUUUUAAAUGGUCAUUGUUGCUUUGACGAAAAUAACAACUCAUUGUAGCAUUUAGCUUUUUUUAUGACUGUCAUUGUGAUUUGUUCCAUUCUCAGUGUGGAUAGACCAACAUUUUUGCUGUAAAUUUCUGUCAAGUGGAUGCAUUGGCCUCUCACUCGAUCAUAGCCGGGCUUGAUCGACCCCUAAACACUGUCUCUGUCUUGUCUUUUGGGAAGGUGUGCUGUGCCGGUGGGAUUCGCCAGAGAUUUGGAAACUCAGAAACUUACUAGAGAUGCUUGAUGUUAAUUUGUCUAAUUAUGUAUGUACAGUUGGGAUCGAUAAUCUCUCACUCGGUGACCCUUCGCUCUGUGGGUUCUGCCUCCCUAGGGUGACCCAUUAAUGAUUUAAUCUAAUUAAAUCUAUAUCAUCUUCCUUAAAGGAAUAGUUUGCAUAAAUUAAAUUCUUUCAGUGUUUACUCACCUUUAUGUCAUUCGAACACCAUAUGCUGUUAUUUGUUUUGUGGAAAACAUAAAAUGUUUAGAGGAUAUUAAUGGGGCUCCGGAAAGGACAAAAAAAACACACACAGUGAUGGUAGUUUAAACGGGUGUUAUUUUAGUAUCAUUUAUAUACUUCAUUCAUUUAUUUGUAAAUUUUUUGACAUUUUUCACAUAUUUUAAAUGGAUUUUUAGUUUAUAAAUAUAUAUAAUUUAUUAUUAUUAUUAUUAUUUUUAAAUAUUGCUAUUUACAUUUUUAUUUACCUCCACUUAGUAAUGUUAAUUGUUCAGCGUAAACUUAUUUCAGGCAACAUUUCUCAUUUUUUAUAGUUUAAAAUUUUCUUCUAAUAUUAAUAUUUUAUUUGAUUUCAGCUUCUCAACUAAGAAAAAUGUUUUUAAUAGUUUUAGGUAAUGUUAAUAACCCUGGUUUAAAUGACGCAUACACUAUAUUUCAGGUCUUCUGAUGUCUUACGAGUGAAAUUGAAGGUAUUAUUUACUUAUUUUCUUCGCUGCAGAAGCUCUGAAAUCUCAGCUGCAUUCAGUGGGUUUGAAGGCCAAAAUACAAGUGGUUCUUUUAUGGUACUAAAUAUAGCUAAAAAUAGCUGUUUAAGGAAAACGGUUGUAGCAUAGAUAUUAAAAGACUUGUUUUGAGUUGCAUGGAAAAAUGACAGCAUAUGUGUAUAGAAUGACACGAGAGUGAGUGACUUCAUAUAUAACGUCAGGUAUAUUAUGUUUUUUGUACAUCCAUUGUGCUAUUAUCUUUAAAGGACUGAGCUUUAUUAAUCCUUGAGUAACACAUGGAAACCAUAGAAAUGCUGCUAUUUCAAGACUGUUAUGGUUGACAUCAAGCACCUUUCAGAAGAGCAUACUGCUCAUAAAUGUCAAAUAUCUUUCUAUAUGGUAUGACAGUGUUAAAGUAAUAGUUCACCUAAAAAUUAAAAUUUGCUGAAAAUGUGUUCACCCUCAGGACAUCCAAGAUGUAGAUGAGUUUUUCUUCAUCAGAACAGGUUUGGAGAAAUGUAGCAU